GCUGGUUUGAAAACCAUGGCGUGGGUACCAGCGGAGUCCGCCGUGGAAGAGUUGAUGCCUCGGCUGUUGCCGGUAGAGCCCUGCGACUUGACGGAAGGUUUCGAUCCCUCGGUACCCCCGAGGACGCCUCAGGAAUACCUGAGGCGGGUCCAGAUCGAAGCAGCUCAAUGUCCAGAUGUUGUGGUAGCUCAAAUUGACCCAAAGAAGUUGAAAAGGAAGCAAAGUGUGAAUAUUUCUCUUUCAGGAUGCCAACCCGCCCCUGAAGGUUAUUCCCCAACACUUCAAUGGCAACAGCAACAAGUGGCACAGUUUUCAACUGUUCGACAGAAUGUGAACAAACAUAGAAGUCACUGGAAAUCACAACAGUUGGAUAGUAAUGUGACAAUGCCAAAAUCUGAAGAUGAAGAAGGCUGGAAGAAAUUUUGUCUGGGUGAAAAGUUAUGUGCGGACGGGGCUGUUGGACCAGCCACAAAUGAAAGUCCUGGAAUAGAUUAUGUACAAGUAAGGGCUGUGUGGAUAAACAGAACAAAAAGCAUUUUAAUUUUGGUGCACCACUUAAUAUAAGGGGUCAGCAAACUCUACUCUGGGCCAAGUCCAGUUCAUGGCCUUUUUUAUAUCCAUGAGCUAAGGAUUGUUUUUAGGUUUUGAAAGAGUAAAAA
This 659-nucleotide small RNA is filed under the name Pongo abelii (Sumatran orangutan). RNAcentral describes it as "retained intron". The record is from RNAcentral. Lineage: Eukaryota; Metazoa; Chordata; Mammalia; Primates; Hominidae.